GCCACCUGGGAGGCUGAGAUGAGAGGAGUGCUUAUGCCCUGGAGGUCAACGCUGCAGUGAGCUGUGAUUGCACCACUGCACUCCACCUGACAGAGUGACACCCCCCCAUCUCUAAAAAAUAAAAAAAAAAAAGUGGGAAGAACAAUCACACCACGGUUUAACUGAUCAGCUACGAUGGGAACUGUGAAAGGCAUUCCACAGAGUGAAUCAAGGCUUCAGGAGGAGGCCCUGACUUAUCCUGGAGGCAGAGGGUUCUCCCAGGAAUGGCGUCUUAGCUGAAGCCUGACCCAGAAGGUAGACGGGCAGGAACGAGGUAAUGUGGAGACUGUUGGGAGCAGGCAAGGACUUCAUCCCAAGGCAAUGGGAGGCCCUCUGUACUCCCUCUUGUGAUAACUGCUUCCCUUCUUUCGGGCAGUGCUCCUGACCCCACUCUAGCUGUGUGGGUGGGUCCCUACCUGGUUGAGUCAACCAGAUCCCAUCCCUGGGAUUUUAAACUUGGAACCAGAAGGAGAGUGAUCAUCACCUCUUUUCUAGGGUGAAUCAAUGAGAAGUGAGGCUCCGAAGCUUGGAUCUCAAGUUCACAGAAGCAGCUGGUUGAGGGUGAAGCUUGCACACAGAGGCCAAGGAAGGAUGCCUACCCAUGUCCAGCUGCCCCAGGGCCCUUUCAGGACUGCUAUUUUGAGCCCCUUCCUUCCUUAACUGGUUUGAAUUGGUCACCGUCACUUGCAACCUAUUGAGUCCUAGCUAAUGUACCAUGACAGGGUUCAAGACUUGGUCAGAGAAGAGCUGGGGUAUAGGAUGCUGGGGAAGGGUACCCAUUAAUCCUCCCUUCUAAGUGGUAACUGAGAGAAUGAACAAGAACAAUAUACAGUUAAAUGAAAAUAAAAAGGCACAGUGGCUCAAGCCUAUAAUCCCAGCACUUUGGGAGGCCGAGGCAGGCAGAUCACAAGGUCAGGAGUUCGAGACCAGCCUAACCAACAUGGUGAAACCCCAUCUCUACUAAAAUUACAAGAAUUAGCCAGGCGUGAUGGCGCGCCACCUGUAAUCCCAGCUGCUCAGGAGGCUGAGCAGGAGAAUCACUUGAACCCGGGAGGCGGAAGUUGCAGUGAGCUGAGAUCAUGCCACUGCACUCCAGCCUGGGCGACAGAGCAAGACUCCGUCUUAAAAAAAAAAAAAAAGAAAAUAAACACAGACGCUUUAAGGAUCAGUUAACAACAAGACACAGACUCUAAUAUUCACUGACAUAAAGUUUCAGAAAGGGCAAAAUUAAUCUCUGGUGACAGGGGCCAGAACAGUGAUGACCUGGGGUGGGGUGUGGGUUGGUCUCUCCUGUGAGGUUUGGAAGGGCAGGCACGUGCCAUGACACCUGGUUGAUUUCUAAAGAUUUUGUCGAGGCAGGGUCUCUGUUGCCCAGGCUGGUCUCGAACUCCUGGCCUCAGGCCAUCCUCCUAACUAGUUCUCCCCAAGUGCUGGGAUCACAGGUGUGAGCCACUGCACCUGGCCCUGUUCAGAUUUUCUAUUUUUCCUGGGACAAUUUUGGUCAUUUGUAUCUUUCUAGGAAUUUUUUUGUUGUUGUUUUGAGACAGAGUCUCACUCUGUCACCCAAGCUGGAGUGCAAUGGCAUGAUCUCAGCUCACUGCAACCUCUGCCUCCUGGGUUCAAGUGAUUUUCCUGCCUCAGCCUCGUGAAUAGCUGGGAUUACAGGUGUGAGCCACCACGCCUGGCUAAUUUUUGUGUUUUUAGUAGAGACAGGGUUUCACCACUUUGGCCAGGUUGGUCUCGAACUUCUGACCUCAGGUGAUCUGCCUGCCUCGGCCUCCCAAAGUGCCGCGAUUACAGGCGUGAGCCACCACACCCAGCCAAGAUGUCGCAUCUUUUUAAAUGUUGGCAUUUGCAGCUAUAAAUUUCCCUCAGAGCAGUUUUUGCCGCAUUCCUUAAGUUCUGGUAUGUUGUUUUCAUCCAUCUCUAUUUCCUAAUUUUUCUCGUGAUUUCUCCUUUGACCCUUUGGCUGUUAAAAAGUGUGUUCAAUUUCUAUGUAUGUGUGAAUUUUCAUUUUCCUUCUGGUAUGGAUUUCUGGUUUUAUUCCAUUGUGAUUGGAGAAGGUGGUUUGCAGGAUUCCGAUCUCUAAUUUACUGAGACUUGCUUUGUGCACUAACGUGUGGUCUGUCCUGGAGAACGUUCCCUGUGCACUUAGAAACGUGUGUUCUGCUGCUAUUGGGUGGAGCACUGUUAAGUCUGGUCAGCCUUUUGGUUUUUAUGUAAUACUUGGCACAUUCACAAGAAAAUGUGUGAAACAGAAAGUACGACAAAGUGAAACCCACGAAGCCACCACUGACCCUGAGGUUCAAAACCUCCAGCAUCUCUGCUCUUCCCUAAGCACAGCUCCGUCCCCUCCCCACGGGUGAGCACUGUGUUGUACUGACUCCCUGCCCUCCCUGAUGACUUUAGCACCUGGGUAUGAAUUCCACACAUAUUUGGUUUUGAGCUUUAUAAAAAUGGCAUCAUACUGUAUGAACUGUCUUGCUUUUUCAUCCCACGUUGUUUCUGAGAGGUGUUUGUGAUGGAGCACAGGGCCAC
This 2577-nucleotide long non-coding RNA is filed under the name Homo sapiens (human). Its description in RNAcentral is "HSALNT0122029". The record is from RNAcentral. Lineage: Eukaryota; Metazoa; Chordata; Mammalia; Primates; Hominidae.